CCAAUGAAAAUCCCUCUGUCAGUGUAGUUUACGCAUGAGAUAAUUCAUUUUUGUAUUAUACACAAAUAUAAAAGCAGAAUUAUAUACAGACCUCAAAUAAUUUAGAUACUGACCCACUAAUAUGUUUUGAGCAACAUAUUAGUACAAAAAUAUACACAUAUAACCUGUGCAGUUAUCACAACUCAAGUCUGGAGAAACCCACACUAAUGGGCUACUAAUCCCUGCAAAGACGUCUUCCAACAGGGCACUCAUCUCCUCCAUAAGCCCUCCUCCUCCAGGCAGAGGGCCAUUUCCUCUGGCUUCAGUUUUGGCCCCUGCAGCCCCCACAGCCCCUGACACGGCUGCUGCCAGACUUGCCCCUGCAUCGUCACUCUGAAGAGACACAAGCAACAUCUCCAGUGAAAAACAAAUUAAUUUAACAAGUUCUUUACAACCAGAGGGAGGUAUUAACCCUCUUCUGAGAAUAAAACAAAAACCGAAAAUAUGUUGUUGGUCUUUAUGUCGGAAAAGAUAUAAACAUUAAUAAAACACAAUGUUUUUUUGUCAAA
This is a long non-coding RNA of Toxotes jaculatrix (banded archerfish), 548 nucleotides long. RefSeq lists it as uncharacterized. The transcript has 2 exons. The record is from RefSeq and is a predicted model, not a curated record. NCBI's taxonomy places the organism in Eukaryota, Metazoa, Chordata, Actinopteri, Toxotidae.